Molecule: long non-coding RNA, 469 nt
Organism: Lingula anatina
Lineage: Eukaryota; Metazoa; Brachiopoda; Lingulata; Lingulida; Lingulidae
Source: RefSeq, a predicted model, not a curated record
AGUUGACGGCGGAUUAUGCCCGUACAGCGAUUGGAGCGAUUGCUCAGUGACGUGUGAAAACGGCACACAGACACGCUCUAGGGAGUGCAAGUGUCCUGAACCCGCCUACGGUGGCGCCAUCUGUGGAGGUGGGAAAACCGAGACCCAGUCAUGUAAUGGCCCCUGUUGCCCAGUUGAUGGUUAUCUGAGUGAUUGGUUACCAUGGUCUUCUUGUUCUGCUACCUGUGGACUACUAGGAACAGUGACUCGGUCACGUACCAAGGAGUGUAUAUACCCCGAACCAGAUUGCCGUGGUGAUGACUGUGGCCAACUUCCAGAAGAAUAUGAAAACUGCACCCAAAAGCCGUGUGGUACAACAAGUGGCGGAUCACCGGGUUCAUUCCAACACGACAGAGGAAAUAGGCUUCAUGAUCUUCACGUGAAUUUCCGAGGAGCUAACACAAAUGUCACCUUUAGAUGUGGGGUUGUA